This 247-nucleotide ribosomal RNA is filed under the name uncultured bacterium. RNAcentral's name for it is "partial 16S ribosomal RNA". It matches the Rfam family "Bacterial small subunit ribosomal RNA", at positions 523 to 769 of the family's 1533-position model. The record is from RNAcentral.
AUACGGAGGGUGCGAGCGUUGUUCGGAAUUAUUGGGCGUAAAGCGCGUGUAGGCGGUUUGUUAAGUCUGAUGUGAAAGCCCCGGGCUCAACCUGGGAAGUGCAUUGGAUACUGGCAGACUUGAAUACGGGAGAGGGCAGUGGAAUUCCUGGUGUAGGAGUGAAAUCCGUAGAUAUCAGGAGGAACACCGGUGGCGAAGGCGACUUUCUGGCCCUAUACUGACGCUGAGACGCGAGAGCGUGGGUAGC